UACGUAGGGGGCUAGCGUUAUCCGGAAUUACUGGGCGUAAGGGGUGCGUAGGUGGUUUCUUAAGUCAGAGGUGAAAGGCUACGGCUCAACCGUAGUAAGCCUUUGAAACUGGGGAACUUGAGUGCAGGAGAGGAGAGUGGAAUUCCUAGUGUAGCGGUGAAAUGCGUAGAUAUUAGGAGGAACACCAGUUGCGAAGGCGGCUCUCUGGACUGUAACUGACACUGAGGCACGAAAGCGUGGGGAGCAAACAGG
Molecule: ribosomal RNA, 252 nt
Filed under: uncultured bacterium
Lineage: Bacteria
Description: partial 16S ribosomal RNA
Rfam family: Bacterial small subunit ribosomal RNA
Source: RNAcentral